Molecule: long non-coding RNA, 2353 nt
Filed under: Helianthus annuus (common sunflower)
Lineage: Eukaryota; Viridiplantae; Streptophyta; Magnoliopsida; Asterales; Asteraceae
Description: hypothetical non coding rna
Source: RNAcentral
UCAUGUGUGUGUUCUGGUCGUGAUUUACACAGGAGCCAAAAAGGGUUUUUAUCAAAACCCUAAAUCACAAGAAAUUCAGCCAAAUCAAGGGAAAUCAAGCUAGGAAAUUGGGGCUUUUAAUAAAUUAGUGAUCACCAAACCUAGGGGAUCACAAGUGUUAUGAUUUUGACGCCUAACAAGCUAGGUGGAAGCUUGUGGAUGAAGCGGGUCAAACGGAGCGCGUACGGAAAGAAAGGCGUGGCAUGGAUGCAAGGUAAGUAUAGCUUACACUAGUCUUAUAUGUUAGGAUAUUCUCUUAUCGUAUUAGUUAUGAAUGAGAUAAAUACAUAAUUGAGGUAUGAUGUUCCGGCGUGUAAACGUACGGAACAAAGUAGUCAAUCAUGACAAGAAACCAUGUGGAUGGUUAAAAGGAGUUAAAUCGGUAAAUUGGUCAUGCGUUGACCAUAACUAUUGGUUUUGAAAGACACAGUAAAACAUAAACCAUGAUAGGCUAAAAAGUGUUAAGAAAAGUGAAAUGACCGCACGAUGUAAACCGGAGCGAGUCAUGUAGAUGAGAUGGUAAUAAAUAUCAUCUCGUCAACAUAUUCGGUCACUUAGACCAAAUGGGUUAAAAGGUGAAGAUAUCACCCUUUGACAAUAACGACUAAUGAUUUUUGUCGAGUUAUAUUAUUUCAGGUGUAAAUGUCAAAUGGGUAUUAGCAACGCUAUGAAUUAGCGGUUAUAAAAGCAAGGUAUUAAAAACGGGUCAAUAUAUUGAUCUGCGCCAGGUAUGUGAAAAAGGGUAACCCUCAUUUAGAACAUGUGGUUCAAAGAGUGUUAAAAUUAGUCAAGGUGAACAUUUGGUUACUUGAUAAGUAAACCAAAUGUUUUAGGUAAGGAACAUUGUAUUUGGAAAGCUUAAUGACUUUUCAAAUAAAAUCAUAGGUUAAAAGAGGGAUUACGGGUCAAAAUAAGCAUACGAGUGAAAACGGGUUUAAAUUGUGUAAUAAACCUGUGAUUAUAACCUAAUAUGGUAAAUAACCUUAAUUUGAAGUAGUGUACGUGAUAUAAAGGUUAAACAAGUAUGUUUGUUUGAUAAACGUAUAAACGGGUCAAAAUUUUGGUAAAAGAGUAAUAAGCCGAAGACUUAAAAGUCUUAAAUUUUAUUAAUCCGGAUGUUGGAUUUUAACUCCAUAUGAUGGAAGAUUAAAUUACAAUCAUGUAGGAAGAAACGGUAGAUCAAACGGAUAAGCAGUUUGAAAGAUACGAAAGUUUUCGUGUCGAAUAACGGCAAAAAUAGAGAAGCUGGAUGCAGAGUCCACCGUAAUUUACGGUCCCACCGUAAAUUACGGUGGAGAUGAAUUGGUUACGGUGCUAAUUGUCUGUUGUACGGUAGAAGAAUAGAAACCCAGGGGCCACCGUAAUUUACGGUCCCACCGUAAAUUACGGUGGAGAUUAUUUUUUUUUAUAUUUUGUUUUCAUUUGAAAAUCAAUUGUUUCCCGGACAUCGUUCGGACAUGAUUUAAACCCCGUAUGACUAAAGCAUUUCAUGUUUAUGAAAUGUAGGUACACCUUGGACGCCGGAAGACGAUCAAGCUCAGCGAAGAACCGGACACGAUAAUGAUACACGCUUCCGCACUUUGCUACGUUGUAAUUUUUAAACAACGAAUUCGAUCACGAUAUGUAGAAUAACUUAUGAUUUAUAAAAGUUUUAAUAAACCCGUAUUUCCAAAUGUUUAUGUAAUCUUAAUUACAUGAUUGUUUUACGUAAAAUUUACGUUAAACCUUGAAUAAUAAGACCGGGUGUUACAUGUUGGUAUCAGAGCCUUGGUUUAAGAGAUUCGAGUAUGGUGGGGAGGAACCAUGCUUGGACUUAAACCUUAUGCUCUUGACAAAGAAUAGUGUUCGGUUCGAGGCUUGAUCGCAAAUCCGGUAAGUACAAGUACGUGAAUAGUUAGUAUGCUAAAGUGUUGUAAACAACACAUAGGGCUAUCGUGUGAUACGCGUUACCCCAAUUAAAAUGAUUGAAAUAGUUGACGAAAAUACGCGCGUUGACGCGUGUAGUAGAAAAAGCCUUGUAUUAUAAUACGGGCGAUUAUUGCGGUUGACGUUACUAACUUUUGUGAAUGUUUUAAAUUGAAGGACACUCGCGUUUGAAGACGACGAGAGUCAAACGAAUUGUGGAUAUGAUGAUGGAACGGUCCGAAGUAUGACAAGAGGAGCAUACUCACCGAGGACUAAAUCGCGUAAUGACCGCGAACAAGGUUAAUGGCAAAGAACGCCCGUCGGGGAAAACAUUACCAGGUGCACAUUUUAAAUAAUAGCAUAGAUAGUAAUAUGCAACAAUAAGUAGGAACUUAAAAGUUGCAUAUGU